UUACUGGCCCUGCAGACACUGCCUCACGUCACCCCCAAAAUAAACUGUAUGUGUGUUCUUGUUUCAGGUCAGCCUCCAGGGGAACCAAGAUGAAGCUAAAGAGUAAAGGAGGAUUUCUCCGAAUUUUCAUGAAAAGUAAGAGAACCCAAGAAAUGCAAUUAUUAAUAACUGGAAUAAUAAAACAAGAUAGAAAUGUCAACAUGUUCCCCAUGGAACCCUGAGGACGUAAUUGUAAGUAAAUGGAAG
This 246-nucleotide long non-coding RNA is filed under the name Mustela putorius furo (domestic ferret). Its description in RNAcentral is "lncRNA (ENSMPUG00000024079.1)". The record is from RNAcentral. Lineage: Eukaryota; Metazoa; Chordata; Mammalia; Carnivora; Mustelidae.